Molecule: long non-coding RNA, 497 nt
Filed under: Rosa chinensis
Lineage: Eukaryota; Viridiplantae; Streptophyta; Magnoliopsida; Rosales; Rosaceae
Description: sRNA RchiOBHm_Chr2g0136291
Source: RNAcentral
UGUCCUCCUAAUCAAACAACCAGUCAGAGUAGUCUCUGUGGAAUCAUGCCUAGUUUGUUGUUGAACAUAGUGGAUUGGCUGACUUUCUUCCUCUCUCUAAUGUCUUCGAACCCAAAUCCGAUUCCCAAAUUAAGAAAAAGAUAGAUUGAUAUCAGAUGUGCAGGUUUAUGAAAAUAUUUACGAGAUCUAGGUUUUGCAUAAUCAUUGUGAGUAGAAAUGGGAGGUGGAGGCAUGGAUAAUUGGUUUCAGUAAGCAGAUCUAUGCUGAUUGGGAUAUGGCAUGGAUGAUUUCUAAUCAAGCAAAUCUAUCCAUUGAAAUAAUGCUUUACACCGAAGACUGGUUACGGCAUCGGUGGAGAUUUUGACCUAGAAGAUCUUCCAACAACCUCUUAUAACAAUUUGGAUUUUGAAUUGGAUUCUACUGAACCAGAAGAUAUGCCAGGACUAUGUUUGUUGAUGAAUCGGAUCUGGGAAUAAAAGAAAUAAUCAGAAGUAUUA